This is an RNA transcript of Oncorhynchus kisutch (coho salmon), 2587 nucleotides long. It is a transcript of the gene named E3 ubiquitin/ISG15 ligase TRIM25-like, with no coding region annotated. The transcript is spliced from 3 exons. The record is from RefSeq and is a predicted model, not a curated record. NCBI's taxonomy places the organism in Eukaryota, Metazoa, Chordata, Actinopteri, Salmoniformes, Salmonidae.
CUAUUUGUCUCCCUCUUGCUGUUGCAUGCAGUUCCUCUCUCUCUUCCUCCAUUCCUCUAACCCCUCCCUCCUUCUAACCCCACCCCUCUGGCAGAUCCAGGAAGUCCCUCCCCUUCCCACAAACUCUCUUCUGAGGAAACGAAACUGAUCUGAGUCUCUGUCUCAUCUGUCUGUGUGACAGUGAACAACCGUCCAAAUGGCUCAACAGGGAGUUUUGCUGGACCAGGACCAGUUCUGUUGUUCUGUCUGUCUGGAUCUACUGAAGGAGCCGGUGGCUAUUCCCUGUGGACACAGUUACUGUAGGAGCUGUAUUGAGGGCUGCUGGGAUCAGGAUGUUCUGAAAGGGGUCUAUAGCUGUCCUCAGUGCAGAGAGACCUUCACUCCAAGGCCUAAUCUGAGGAAAAAUAACAUGUUGGCUGAGCUGGUGGAGAAACUGAGGAAGACAGGACUCCAGGCUGCUCCCCCUCCUGCUCUGUGCUAUGCUGGACCUGGAGAUGUGGUGUGUGAUUUCUGCACUGGGACCAGAAAGCAGAAAGCCCUCAUGUCCUGUCUGGUGUGUCUGGCCUCUUACUGUGAGACUCACCUCCAACCUCACUAUGAAUUUCCUGGUUUCAAGAAGCACAAGCUGGUCAAAGCCACGGCACAACUACAGGAGAAGAUCUGCUCUCAUCAUGACAAACUGCUGGAGGUUUACUGUCGUACCGAUCAGCAGUGUAUCUGUUAUCAGUGUGUGAUGGAUGAACAUAAAGGCCAUGAUACAGUGUCAGCUGCAGCAGAGAGGACUGAGAAACAGAGGCAGCUGGGGAUGAGUCAGCAGAAGGUCCAGCAGAGAUUCCAGGAGAGAGAGAAGGAGCUGAAGGAGCUCCAACAGGCUGUGGAGUCUUUCAAGGUGAGUAUUGUUGACCAGAGGAGACACACCAUUUCACUUCUCUCCUCCAGUCAGAGAGAGAGAGAGAGAGAGAGAGGGGCCCCUAUCCAAUCCCACUGACCCCACUGUUGGGAACAGGCUGUCUGGACCCCUUCAGAGAAUAGACUGGUUCAUGUAACCGACUGGGCUGCCUCAUCACAUAACCAUGAGGAACCAUGACGACUCAUGUCCCCUAUACAUUAAUAUGGAGCUCUUUCUCUCUCAAUUCAAUUCAAAGGUCUUUAUUGGCAUGGAAACAUAUCUUUACUAUGCCAAAGCAAGUGAAGUAGAUAAUAAACAAUCAUGAAUGAACAGUAAACAUUAAACAACAUUUAUUUUCAAAAGAAUAGGGACAUUUCAAAUGUUAUAAUUCAAGUGCAAACAGAGUCGUGCCCCAGACUGAGUUCUGGAGGUGAAAUGGAAAUGAAUGAGGGAGAGUUCAGUGAGGUAGAAGGUGUGGAGAAGAGUUCAGAACCAGAGAAGUAUUUGGUCAUAUGAGAUUUGACUUCAGAAGAGUUCCAGGGGGUGUUGAGUGGUGGUGUCCCGUCCUCCCAGGUCGUUGUCAUGGUGUCUGCAUUGUAGUGGAAUGGGGUAGUGGGUUUUUAAUGAGUGUAGGGUUAGUUGGAAGGGUGUUACUUAGUAUUAUCAUCAUUAUAUUAUUAUUAGUCACAUGCGCUGAAUACAACAGGUGUUUUUGCCUUUCAGUGAAAUAUCAAGACUUGCAAGUAAUUAAAGAGCAGCAGUAACAUUAGUGAGACUAAAAACAGACUAUAUACAGGCGGGAACCGGUACAGAGUCAAUGCACGGGGUCAUCGGUUAGUUGAGUUAAUAUCAAGACUUGUAUGUGUUGUGAUAUUGUUGUCAGGAUGUUGAAGAGAGGGAAAGAUUGAAGCGUCAUUGGGGUUGGACGGGGUUGGGGGAGUUUGGAAGGGAUUUGGGGGAUGGGGGAGGGUCUAUUAGAAGUUAGUAGGACUCUUUUAUUUUCUCAGAAGUACUGAGUUAGGUAGGAGGAUUUAGAGUGGUGUAAACCGUGAUUGAACACACUCCAGAACAGUAGGUGGCGCCAUGCACCUUUAACGUUGGUUUGAGGACCUCCAUUAUAUCAUAGAAGAAGAAGUUGGUCUGUGAGGGUUUUGUUGUUCCUGAGGAGGGCUACUAUUCUUUUCUCUUUUGGUUUUCAAGUAUUUUCAGAAUGUAUUAAAGCCAAAGCUAAAGCUUCCCUAAACAAUUCAAUAUAUCAGUCAAUAUAUUUUCUCUGUGAUUUAUUUUCUCUCCGUCAACCAUCGCAUCUUAACCGUCUUACCGGGCGGGCACUAGGACCCGGGGGAGGCUGCUGCUGCAGAGGCUGCUGCACCGCUCGUGACUGUCAGUCCUCCUUGUAGCUCAUUGGUUAAGCUGUGGCUCGAGCCUGUUAACAGUUAACGGACAGGAAACGGCUCUGACAGGACACAUUCAUGUCGAGGCAGUGAUGUGAAUGUGUGGCUACUGUUUGGCCUUAGCUCACGCCAAAUAAAUGAAAGAUACCCCACAAGCCAAUCGGGACCUUCUCUUGUGAAGCCCAGACGGAAGAGAGAGAACAAAGGCUGAACCUUAACUUCCAAUGCCCCGCCCCCUCCACGCCACUCCGCCAACCACCAGGAUGCCCGGCAUCAGAACAUCCCAGGCAUUCCUGUGAUUGGC